CCAGGCCCACGACGAAGAUGACGCUGUAGGACACGGGCAGGUAAUAGCGUUUCAUCAGGCGAUCCACGUCGGUGCAGUUGUGAUAUUCUCCGUGGUAGAGGAUGCUAGCCAUGGCUGAGCCCUGCUGAGUGUGAAAAUGCUCCGUUUUGGUCUCCACCAACCACCAACUAUUGCUGGAACCCUAACCUGCCAAAUCACCUACAACCAAAAAUUAAAGCUGCUGCCAUGAAAACAAAACAAUGAGCAGUAAAGUGUGUUGAGCCGAGGGUAACUCCUGGGUCAACCGGUUGUUCAAGCUUAUCAGUGUGAGUCACUCUUUUUACAUAACAAUUAUCGAUUCAUUCGGCUUCAUCGGAUCCAAAUCUGCUUAACAAUUGGAUGCUUUGAGCCAGAGGAAAAAGUCUGUUCCUGCAAAUUCCU
Acanthopagrus latus (yellowfin seabream) is the source of this 420-nucleotide long non-coding RNA. RefSeq lists it as uncharacterized. The transcript has 2 exons. Lineage: Eukaryota; Metazoa; Chordata; Actinopteri; Spariformes; Sparidae. The record is from RefSeq and is a predicted model, not a curated record.